Molecule: long non-coding RNA, 1653 nt
Organism: Apis cerana (Asiatic honeybee)
Lineage: Eukaryota; Metazoa; Arthropoda; Insecta; Hymenoptera; Apidae
Source: RefSeq, a predicted model, not a curated record
CAUUACAAGCAUGCACACUUAAAAUAAUCGUAUAAAAUAACCUUAAAUAUAUAAACGGACAAAAAUCUAACUUGGAUUUAAUAAAUUUUUCGCGACAUAUGUAUAGGUUAGUAUAUAAUUCUCGAAAAACUUUAGUUUCAUCAACGAAUAUGUUGAAAGGAAAAAAUAAACACGAAUGCAAUAAAAAAUUAAUUGAUGAAGGAAAUGAAAAAAAAGAGCAAGAAUCAAAAAUCUUUCUGAAAAAAGGAUUAUUCGGAGGAUUUCUCAAUUAUCAGAGUGGAAUGUGUGAUGAAUUGAGGGAACAGUGAGACAAGACGAAAGUAGAGGGAGUGACAAGCAACCCAACGGGAUUUUAAGCUCAAGACGUCACGGGAGUUUAGCGAAACGGUUAAAGGAGCGAGUUAACGAGAAGUCCCUUUGUCCCAGAGGAUAACCUUCCUCUCCAUUAAAUGGUCCGCGUGAUAAAGUCCCUUAUGUAUCAACGAAUCCCUUAAGAACAAAUUAGAGGAAUCCUAUUUUCGAUCUAAUUUUCUACUAUACUAAUUGUAAGAGUAUAAUAUCAUAUCUGUAACUGUGAAAAACAAAAUGAUAUUCUCGAAAGAAUUUGGACUACUUUUUUUUUACAUCGAAUCUUCUGCCAAUUAUUAAUGGAUCAGUGAAUCAGUUUUUCAAUUUUUCAUUAGUUCUUUGAAAAUAUGCAUCACGACUAAAUUUCAUCGAAAAUAGGAAACGUCGAAUUAGCGUACAUUCAGAAUAUAUCGUGGAAAGCUUUUCGUGACCUUAACGCAAGCGGAAAUCAAAAAAAAGGCAAACUAAACUUUUCAGAAGAUUAUGAGAAAGUUCAGGGACACUUACUUAAAUGAUUUCUCUACUACAUUAUACAAUCAUUCGUUAAGUCCAACGUUUGAAACUUGGUAAUAAAAAGUAAAAAUUCGGAGGAAAGAGGUUCGAGAAUAAAAUUUCGUUUAAGCCGCCGACAACCAAGUUUCUCUGCGAACAGUUAACUACUUGCUGUUAUUCGUUCGCAAACUUUAAAAAUUUUCUUAACAAUAAAAAAUUAGAAAAUAAUCCGAAAAUAUUCGCCGUAUUUUAAAUAAAAUUUCUAAAUUUCUAAUUACGAUUAUAUAAUUUCUUAUGUCACAAAAUUUCUUUAUAUUUUUUAUAAAAAUCUUAAAACUUUAAAACUACAAUUAGGUAGAAAAUAAUACAACAUUUAAAAAUUUACAAAUAAAAUUUAAUAUCAAAAAUAAUUUUACAUCAUAAAAUUUUCUUAUGAAAAAUUCUCAUCCAUCUGCCAUCCAUGACACGCAAUAAUUUUCUAUCAGAUAAAAAUAAAUCAUUUUCACGACAACUAUUUUUCUAUUACCUUAAUUCGUUUUAAAAUCAAAAAUUAAAUCGGAAAUAACGCAACAUCUAUAAGUGCCAAAAUAUGAAUAUUUUAAUGUGAAAAAUUUUCUACGUCAAAAAUUAAAAUUUUUCAACUUUUUCAACAAAAAUCCUCACACUUACGUAUAUUAUAAAAUUAAAUAAAAAAUAACGCAUAACAUUUACAAAUACAAUAUUCAUUAUCAAAAAACUUCGAAAUUUCUUAUAUCAUAAAAUUUUCUCGCGCUUGGUCAUCAUCCAUCAAAAACGACAAUUUCCACCAAAUCG